This 493-nucleotide ribosomal RNA is filed under the name uncultured bacterium. RNAcentral's name for it is "bacterial SSU rRNA". It matches the Rfam family "Bacterial small subunit ribosomal RNA", at positions 30 to 521 of the family's 1533-position model. The record is from RNAcentral.
AUUGAACGCUAGCGGCAGGCCUAAUACAUGCAAGUCGAACGGUAAGGCCCUUUCGGGGGUACACGAGUGGCGGACGGGUGCGUAACGCGUAUGCAACAUACCUUCAAGCGGGGGAUAUGCCAGGGAAACUUGGUGCAACACCCCAUAGCAUUUCGGGACCGCAUGGCCUUGGGAUUAAAUAUUUAUAGCUUGGAGAUUGGCAUGCGUGACAUUAGCUAGUUGGCGGGGUAACGGCCCACCAAGGCGACGAUGUCUAGCUGGUCUGAGAGGAUGAUCAGCCACACUGGGACUGAGACACGGCCCAGACUCCUACGGGAGGCAGCAGUAGGGAAUAUUGGACAAUGGGGGGAACCCUGAUCCAGCCAUGCCGCGUGAGGGAAGAAGGUCCUCUGGAUUGUAAACCUCUUUUGGCGGGGGACAAACCUGCACUAUACGUGCAGCUGAGGGUACCCGCAGAAUAAGCACCGGCUAACUCCGUGCCAGCAGCCGCGGU